This 233-nucleotide long non-coding RNA is filed under the name Elaeis guineensis (African oil palm). Its description in RNAcentral is "long non-coding RNA (EGUI_LNC015200)". Lineage: Eukaryota; Viridiplantae; Streptophyta; Magnoliopsida; Arecales; Arecaceae. The record is from RNAcentral.
CUUCUUCAGCCUUAAUGGCUCUGUAAUGCAUAUUUAAUAAAUAACGUGAGAAAGAAAUUUUUCGCUACCUCUUUUAUUCAUAUGUUGAAUUGUCGGUUGCCGAGCUUCUUUCGGCUUUUGCCUUGUUCGAAAUCGAUGCCGUUCGGAGGUAUCCGAUUGUCGUCGCAUUGGCCGGUCCUUUCGUCCAUGGCCGCAGAUUUGUCCGGGGCCGCUCGGGUUUGACGCCCCCUCUC